GAUGAACGCUGGCGGCGUGCCUAAUACAUGCAAGUCGAGCGAACGGACGAGAAGCUUGCUUCUCUGAUGUUAGCGGCGGACGGGUGAGUAACACGUGGAUAACCUACCUAUAAGACUGGGAUAACUUCGGGAAACCGUAGCUAAUACCGGAUAAUAUUUUGAACCGCAUGGUUCAAAAGUGAAAGACGGUCUUGCUGUCACUUAUAGAUGGAUCCGCGCUGCAUUAGCUAGUUGGUAAGGUAACGGCUUACCAACGCAACGAUGCAUAGCCGACCUGAGAGGGUGUUCGGCCACACUGGAACUGAGACACGGUCCAGACUCCUACGGGAGGCAGCAGUAGGGAAUCUUCCGCAAUGGGCGAAAGCCUGACGGAGCAACGACGCGUGAGUUAUAGAGGUCUUCGGAUCGGAAAACUCUGUUAUUAGGGAAGAACAUAUGUGUAAGUAACUGUGCACAGCUUGACGGUACCUAAUCAGAAAGCCACGGCUAACUACGUG
RNAcentral lists this ribosomal RNA (497 nucleotides) under uncultured bacterium. RNAcentral's name for it is "partial 16S ribosomal RNA". It matches the Rfam family "Bacterial small subunit ribosomal RNA", at positions 28 to 507 of the family's 1533-position model. The record is from RNAcentral.